AACGAACGCUGGCGGCAGGCCUAAAACAUGCAAGUCGAACGGGUGUAGCAAUACAUCAGUGGCGCACGGGUGAGUAACGCGUGGGAACGUGCCCUUCAGUACGGGACAACGUCGGGAAACUGACGCUAAUACCGUAUAAUAUCUCCGGAUCAAAGAUUUAUCGCUGAAGGAGCGGCCCGCGUCUGAUUAGCUAGUUGGUGGGGUAAUGGCCUACCAAGGCUACGAUCAGUAGCUGGUCUGAGAGGAUGAUCAGCCACACUGGGACUGAGACACGGCCCAGACUCCUACGGGAGGCAGCAGUUAGGAAUAUUGGACAAUGGGCGAAAGCCUGAUCCAGCCAUGCCGCGUGUGUGAUGAAGGCCCUAGGGUUGUAAAGCACUUUCGUUGGGGAUGAUAAUGACCGUACCCAAACGAAGAAGACCACGG
RNAcentral lists this ribosomal RNA (426 nucleotides) under uncultured bacterium. RNAcentral's name for it is "bacterial SSU rRNA". It matches the Rfam family "Bacterial small subunit ribosomal RNA", at positions 29 to 496 of the family's 1533-position model. The record is from RNAcentral.